RNAcentral lists this long non-coding RNA (599 nucleotides) under Medicago truncatula (barrel medic). Its description in RNAcentral is "lncRNA gene22708". The record is from RNAcentral. Lineage: Eukaryota; Viridiplantae; Streptophyta; Magnoliopsida; Fabales; Fabaceae.
UACCAAAACAUAAGUAUUUUGGAUGUCAGAAUGGAAGUUAUCCCAUCGAUAAUAAAUAUAGAAAGCAGUAAAGUGUUCACACUCUCAAGACCAUUGAACCAAACUACAUAGGUUCUGUCCACACAAUGGUUAAAAAACAGUAACAUUAUCAUUAUCAUUUCAUCACCAUCAUUUUUUCUGAUUCUACUGCUGGGCGCAUUGUACUCUCUGUGCCCCACCAGGCAUAUCAUCAUCCUCAUCAUAUGCUUCCUGUUGUUGUUGCUGUUGUUUCCUCCUAUUCUCCUCUUCCAUAUUGACAUCAUGAAGUGUAGUUUCCUCACACUCGUCGAUCUCCAUGUCUGUCAACUGUGAUGAAGGUUUAGCUGGAAGAACAGCCUCCAAACCUUUCACCUGAUCAAGACUUAGGGUGUCGGGGAAUUCCACGGUGAAGUGAAUGUAAAGCUUGCCCUUCAUAAAUGGCCUCUGGUACAUCGGCAUUCCCUCGUCGUUAAUAGCCUUGUAUGAAUCUGCAUGCUUGACAACUUCUCCGGGGUUUGAUUUGAUAAGAAGUUGGCGACCAUCCAAGUGAGUAAGCACAAAUUGGAAACCACACAAAGCCU